GUUAAGGAAAGCAAGGAGGGAAAAGACAGUUGUGAGAUUUGGGAUGCGGAGAAAUUGAAGAGGAGAACCUGGAGCAUAGAAUUCUAAGGCCUCCCACCAGCUCCUCUGGGAGGAUGCUCACUCUGCUUGAUGGUAACUCUGUACCCACCGCUUGUGAGCAUCAGGCUGCCCUUGACUGUAACCUCGGAUACCUAAGCCUGUCUAGUUACUUACCUAGGGUACGUAGCUAGAUU
This 233-nucleotide long non-coding RNA is filed under the name Bos taurus (domestic cattle). RNAcentral's name for it is "long non-coding RNA NONBTAT012759". The record is from RNAcentral. Lineage: Eukaryota; Metazoa; Chordata; Mammalia; Artiodactyla; Bovidae.